GUGCUUGCUUCAGCAGCACAUAUACUAAAAUUAGAAUGAUACAUAGAAGAAUAGCAUGACCACUGCGCAAGGAUAACACAAAAAUUUGUGAUGCGUUCCAUAUCAAA
This is a small nuclear RNA of Hyla sarda, 107 nucleotides long. The record is from RefSeq and is a predicted model, not a curated record. NCBI's taxonomy places the organism in Eukaryota, Metazoa, Chordata, Amphibia, Anura, Hylidae.